CCCUUCUUUCCAAAAAGCAUCGUGCUAAAAUCAUGGGUGUAGAGCCAUGUGGCUUAGCAUCCCGUGUUCAUGCUAGCAUCGGUAUUCUAAAGAAGGGAGAGAAGAGGCACAGAGUUGGCUAUGAGGUGGGGAGGGACCUCUUUCUUAAUGUCCAGUGUCCUCAUCCUCAAGAUUUGGUGCCACAGAA
This is a small nucleolar RNA of Clupea harengus (Atlantic herring), 187 nucleotides long. RefSeq annotates it as small nucleolar RNA SNORA81. The record is from RefSeq and is a predicted model, not a curated record. NCBI's taxonomy places the organism in Eukaryota, Metazoa, Chordata, Actinopteri, Clupeiformes, Clupeidae.